This 1804-nucleotide ribosomal RNA is filed under the name uncultured eukaryote. Its description in RNAcentral is "SSU rRNA". It matches the Rfam family "Eukaryotic small subunit ribosomal RNA". The record is from RNAcentral.
CAUAUGCUUGUCUUAAAGAUUAAGCCAUGCAUGUCCAAGUAUAAGCCCUCAUAGGGUGAAACUGCGGAUGGCUCAUUAAAUCGGUUGGAAUCUACACGAGAGUGUACAAUUAAACGGAUAACCGCGGAAAAUCUGCGGCUAAUACGUGCAUAAAAAUGGGCUCCUGGCCCAUUGCAUUUAUCAGAUUGAGAGAAUGGAGGGUAACUUCCAACUUGAAUGAUGAUAAAUAUCUCGCGGAUCGCACGAGCAUGACUCGGCGACAAUUCGUUCGACUUUCCGCCCUAUCAACUUUGGAUGGUAGUGUAGUGGACUACCAUGGUGGUUACGGGUGACGGAGAAUUAGGGUUCGAUUCCGGAGAGGGAGCCUGAGAGAUGGCUACCACUUCCAAGGAAGGCAGCAGGCGCGAAAAUUGCCAAACCUACAAAGUAGGAGGCAGUGACAAUAAAUAUCGGAGGGUCAAAUGAUCCGACUGGAAUGAGAUGGAUGUAAAUAAAUCUACGAGAAACAAUUGGAGGACAAGUCUGGUGCCAGCACCCGCGGUAAUUCCAGCUCCAAGAGCGUAUAUUCAAUUUGCUGCAGUUAAAAAGCUCGUAGUUGGGUGAGGGGAGUGAGUUAGGGGAGGUUGUGGGGAAACCUAGAACUGAACUUAUCAUUCUCAUUAUGGAGGGAUCGUUGCAGAGUGUUCUUAACUGAAUGCUUUGUAUACACCCUCCCGUUGACCGUGCUUAAAUUCGCGUGUUCAAAGCAAGCAUUUCUUUUGCUUGUAGAGUCUAGCAUGGGAUCAUUUAAUAUGGAAAGAGAAACCAUCUCAAUUUUCUCUUUCAAUGACAAAUAGGGGCAAACGGGGGUGGAGGGAUUCCGUUGUUAGAGGUGAAAUUCUUAGACCAACGGAGGACCAACAGAAGCCAAAGCGUCCAUCAAGGGUGUGCCCAUUGAUCAAGAACGAAAGUUAGGGGAUCAAAUACGAUCAGACACCGUAGUAGUCCUAACCUUAAACGAUACCGACCGGGGAUGGGAUGAGACAAAAAAUCAUAUCCAUUCUGUACCCUGAGAGAAAUCAAGAGUGUUUGGGUUCCGGGGGGAGUACGGUCGCAAGGCUGAAACUUAAAGGAAUUGACGGAAAGGCAAACAAGAAGUGGAACCUGCGGCUUCCAAUUCGACUCAACACGGGAAAACUUACCAGGUCCAGACAUGGGAAGGAUGGACAGAUUGAUAGAUCUUUCUUGAUUCUAUGAGUGGUGGUGCAUGGCCGUUCUUAGUUGGUGGAGUGAUUUGUCUGGUUGAUUCCGAUAACGAACGAGAUCACGAGAGAUUUGUUGAGGGGGGAUGGAGGGAUGAAAGAGGGCGAAAGGUGGGAAGAAAUGCUUUCGGGUAUUUCGGCUCAUUCGGAUCCUUUGUUCCUUUGUCCACUCACCAACUCCGACUGGAGUGUUUCAACACUCAGGAAGGUCGUGGCAAUAACAGGUCUGUGAUGCCCUUAGAUGUUCUGGGCUGCACGCGCGUUACACUGACAGAGACAAAGAGUUAUUUAAGCUUGGCUGAAAGGCCUGGCUAAUCUAAUCGAGACUCUGUCGUGAUGGGGAUAGAUGGUUGUAAUUAUGCAUCUUGAACGAGGAAUUCCUAGUAAACGUAGUUUAUCAAACUGCGUUGAUUUCGUCCCUGCCCUUUGUACACACCGCCCGUCGCUCCUACCGAUUGAAUGAAAAGGUGAAAAGAAGGGAGAGAUGGUGUCUCGUACACUAUUUCAAACAUCGUUGAACCAUUUCAUUUAGAGGAAGGAGAAGUCGUAACAAGGUUUUCGUA